CCUACGGGUGGCAGCAGUGGGGAAUAUUGCACAAUGGGGGAAACCCUGAUGCAGCGACGCCGCGUGAGUGAAGAAGUAAUUCGUUAUGUAAAGCUCUAUCAGCAGGGAAGAAAAUGCCGGUACCUGAGUAAGAAUCCCCGGCUAACUACGUGCCAGCAGCCGCGGUAAUACGUCGGGGGCAAGCGUUAUCCGGAUUUACUGGGGGUAAAGGGAGCGUAGACGGCAGUGCAAGUCUGGAGUGAAAGGCGGGGGCUCAACCCCCGGACUGGUCUGGAAACUGUACGGCUGGAGUGCAGGAGAGGUAAGUGGAAUUCCUAGUGUAGCGGUGAAAGGCGUAGAUAUUAGGAGGAACACCAGUGGCGAAGGCGGCUUACUAGACUGUAACUGACGUUGAGGCUCGAAAGCGUGGGGAGCAAACAGGAUUAGAUACCCCUGUAGUC
This 440-nucleotide ribosomal RNA is filed under the name uncultured bacterium. RNAcentral's name for it is "partial 16S ribosomal RNA". It matches the Rfam family "Bacterial small subunit ribosomal RNA", at positions 338 to 795 of the family's 1533-position model. The record is from RNAcentral.